This 167-nucleotide ribosomal RNA is filed under the name uncultured bacterium. Its description in RNAcentral is "partial 16S ribosomal RNA". It matches the Rfam family "Bacterial small subunit ribosomal RNA", at positions 1335 to 1500 of the family's 1533-position model. The record is from RNAcentral.
CUAGUAAUCGCGAAUCAGAAUGUCGCGGUGAAUACGUUCCCGGGCCUUGUACACACCGCCCGUCACACCAUGAGAGUCGAUAACACCCGAAGCCUGUGAGCUAACCUUUCAGGAGGCAGCAGUCGAAGGUGGGGUUGAUGAUUGGGGUGAAGUCGUAACAAGGUACC